GAUGAACGCUGACAGAAUGCUUAACACAUGCAAGUCCACUUGAACUUCGGUUUGGGUGGCGGACGGGUGAGUCACGCGUAAAGAACUUGCCUCACAGAUAGGGACAACAUUUGGAAACGAAUGCUAAUACCUGAUAUUAUGAUUAUAUGGCAUCGUAUAAUUAUGAAAGCUAUAUGCGCUGUGAGAGAGCUUUGCGUCCCAUUAGCUAGUUGGAGAGGUAACGGCUCACCAAGGCGAUGAUGGGUAGCCGGCCUGAGAGGGUGAUCGGCCACAAGGGGACUGAGACACGGCCAUUACUCCUACGGGAGGCAGCAGUGGGGAAUAUUGGACAAUGGACCAAGAGUCUGAUCCAGAAAUUCUGUGUGCACGAUGAAGUUUUUCGGAAUGUAAAGUGCUUUCAGUUGGGAAGAAAAAAAUGACGGUACCAACAGAAGAAGUGACGGCUAAAUACGUG
Molecule: ribosomal RNA, 454 nt
Filed under: uncultured bacterium
Lineage: Bacteria
Description: partial 16S ribosomal RNA
Rfam family: Bacterial small subunit ribosomal RNA
Source: RNAcentral